This 267-nucleotide RNase P RNA is filed under the name Clostridia bacterium. RNAcentral's name for it is "partial RNase P RNA component class A". It matches the Rfam family "Bacterial RNase P class A", at positions 1 to 268 of the family's 367-position model. Rfam says of the family: Ribonuclease P (RNase P) is a ubiquitous endoribonuclease, found in archaea, bacteria and eukarya as well as chloroplasts and mitochondria. Lineage: Bacteria; Bacillati; Bacillota; Clostridia. The record is from RNAcentral.
CAACAAAGCGGCGCGAUCGCGUCAUAUUAUGCCGAAAGGUCGUAUGGCGAGGAAAGUCCGGGCUUCAAGGGCAGGAUAACGGAUAACGUCCGCCGAGGGUGACAUCAGGAAAAGUGCAACAGAAAUAAACCGCCGCGCAAGCGGUAAGGAUGGAAAGGCGAGGUAAGAGCUCACCAUCCCCUUGGUGACAAGGGGAGUCAUGUAAACUCUAUCCGAAGCAACGCCGUGGGAACGGGCCUUGCCCGACGGUUGCCCGCCGUAUUUUCU